RNAcentral lists this ribosomal RNA (252 nucleotides) under uncultured microorganism. RNAcentral's name for it is "partial small subunit ribosomal RNA". It matches the Rfam family "Bacterial small subunit ribosomal RNA", at positions 524 to 776 of the family's 1533-position model. The record is from RNAcentral.
UACGGAGGAUCCGAGCGUUAUCCGGACUUAUUGGGUUUAAAGGGAGCGUAGGUGGACAGUUAAGUCAGUUGUGAAAGUUUGCGGCUCAACCGUAAAAUUGCAGUUGAUACUGGCUGUCUUGAGUACAGUAGAGGUGGGCGGAAUUCGUGGUGUAGCGGUGAAAUGCUUAGAUAUCACGAAGAACUCCGAUUGCGAAGGCAGCUCACUGGACUGCAACUGACACUGAUGCUCGAAAGUGGGGUAUCAAACAGG